UGGGGAAUAUUGCACAAUGGGCGCAAGCCUGAUGCAGCCAUGCCGCGUGUAUGAAGAAGGCCUUCGGGUUGUAAAGUACUUUCAGCGGGGAGGAAGGUGUUGUGGUUAAUAACCGCAGCAAUUGACGUUACCCGCAGAAGAAGCACCGGCUAACUCCGUGCCAGCAGCCGCGGUAAUACGGAGGGUGCAAGCGUUAAUCGGAAUUACUGGGCGUAAAGCGCACGCAGGCGGUCUGUCAAGUCGGAUGUGAAAUCCCCGGGCUCAACCUGGGAACUGCAUUCGAAACUGGCAGGCUAGAGUCUUGUAGAGGGGGGUAGAAUUCCAGGUGUAGCGGUGAAAUGCGUAGAGAUCUGGAGGAAUACCGGUGGCGAAGGCGGCCCCCUGGACAAAGACUGACGCUCAGGUGCGAAAGCGUGGGGAGCAAACAGGAUUAGAUACCCCGGUAGUCCACGCCGUAAACGAUGUCGACUUGGAGGUUGUGCCCUUGAGGCGUGGCUUCCGGAGCUAACGCGUUAAGUCGACCGCCUGGGGAGUACGGCCGCAAGGUUA
Molecule: ribosomal RNA, 549 nt
Filed under: uncultured bacterium
Lineage: Bacteria
Description: bacterial SSU rRNA
Rfam family: Bacterial small subunit ribosomal RNA
Source: RNAcentral